RNAcentral lists this ribosomal RNA (448 nucleotides) under Lancefieldella rimae. RNAcentral's name for it is "bacterial SSU rRNA". It matches the Rfam family "Bacterial small subunit ribosomal RNA", at positions 28 to 483 of the family's 1533-position model. The record is from RNAcentral. Lineage: Bacteria; Bacillati; Actinomycetota; Coriobacteriia; Coriobacteriales; Atopobiaceae.
GAUGAACGCUGGCGGCGCGCCUAACACAUGCAAGUCGAACGGUUAAAGCACCUUUUAGGUGUGUAUAAAGUGGCGAACGGCUGAGUAACACGUGGGCAACCUGCCCUCCUCUUGGGGAUAGCCUCGGGAAACCGAGGAUAAUACCCGAUACUUCAAUGUGGCCGCAUGGCGACAUUGAGAAAGCUUUUGCGGAGAAGGAUGGGCCCGCGGCCUGUUAGCUUGUUGGUGGGGUAGAGGCCUACCAAGGCAAUGAUGGGUAGCUGGGUUGAGAGACCGACCAGCCAGAUUGGGACUGAGACACGGCCCAGACUCCUACGGGAGGCAGCAGUGGGGAAUCUUGCACAAUGGGCGAAAGCCUGAUGCAGCGACGCCGCGUGCGGGACGAAGGCCUUCGGGUUGUAAACCGCUUUCAGCAGGGAACGAGGCGAUAAAGUGAACGGUACCUGCA